GAGGGUAUAGCUCAGUAGUAGAGUGCGUGCUUAGCAUGCAUGAGGUCCUAGGUCCAGUCCCUAGUACUUCCA
This 72-nucleotide transfer RNA is filed under the name Camelus bactrianus (Bactrian camel). It matches the Rfam family "tRNA". From Rfam's summary of the family: Transfer RNA (tRNA) molecules are approximately 80 nucleotides in length. RNAcentral also lists the same sequence under 2 other names. Lineage: Eukaryota; Metazoa; Chordata; Mammalia; Artiodactyla; Camelidae. The record is from Rfam by way of RNAcentral.